Long non-coding RNA from Dreissena polymorpha, 5729 nucleotides. RefSeq lists it as uncharacterized. NCBI's taxonomy places the organism in Eukaryota, Metazoa, Mollusca, Bivalvia, Myida, Dreissenidae. The transcript has 2 exons. The record is from RefSeq and is a predicted model, not a curated record.
AUAUAAUAUUUUAUGCACACAUAAAAGAUUUUAUGUCAUUGUACGAUUUCUUAAUUGUUGAACAUUAUAUUGGUUCAAGCCUUAUAUUUAAUUACUUGUGUAUAACCUCAGGGUGGGGUCACAUGGGCUCUUUUGACCAAUCAAAUUCAGUGUUGGCCAUUGUGGCCCUUUGUAUCCUUUUAGACUAACGAGGAAUCCAAUAUGGUCGAAAUUAACAAUUACGCUCUUAGGCGAUACUUCCAAGGAUUAAUUUUAAUAGGAUAUGAUGCCGUUUCAUUCCGUUUAUGUGAAGGAUUAUCUCUCGUUGUACGAAGACUUACACCAAUGGUGUUAUCCCGUGUGAUACUAAGUUUAAAGGGCAGUUGAACGAGUACACAUGCUUAUCACUAUCAGUGCCGUGUGCAGAAAACUUUGCGACGUAUACGCAGUCUACCGUGAAAGGUUUCCAAGAUGGCGGCGCCCACAGCGUAAUUAGCGCAUAUCGCCAGUCACUUUUUUUAUGCUGAUCAGCUACACAGUUGUCGCUGCCCUGUAUCAGUCAUACUGAUUCAGUUCAGAUAAGUAUUCAAAUAUCGUGUUAACAUUUGUGCCUGACUUUAAGUUCUGGCUGUUUAAAUUAUUAUUUUUUCUGCCUUUUUAAGAAUGAUGAUCAACUCGGGUCAGCUCUAUAUAUCUUGUAUAUUUAUUAUUGUCUUAUUUAAUUUAAAGUUCAGCCUGGGCUUAUACUUUAUGAAUAUUUACGACACAUUUGUAUUGUCAGUUUAGCUGGGUUUCCCACUGUCACAUUAACAGAUGUCUUCACGUUUUUAUGAAAUAAACAAUGAAACACCCUUUCAUUUUAGUCUAUAUUACCAUACCUCAUUUAUAUGGUCAACUUGUGUAUUUUAAAAUUCUUGUGAUGUGUUUUGUUGUGCUAUUGUUGUUCAUGUUUUCAUUAUGGCAAUUAUUUGGUCGUUAUAUUUUCAUUAACAUAUCCUUGUUAAGUCUGUAACUACUAAAAACUAUAAGUAAUUUUAAUAUUCUUAAAAGCUUCAUAUUCAUAUAUAUAUAUAUAUAUAUAUAUAUAUAUAUAUAUAUAUAUAUAUAUAUAUAUAUAUAUAUAUAUAUAUAUAUAUAUCUUAUUUGUAUGUGGUGUGGUGUGUCUUAUAGUCACAAUGUAAUUUUAACCUUCAAGUUUUGUCUUGUAGUCACAUCUGGUCAGUCUAUUUGUGCCUUGUAGUCACAAUAGUUCACAUAAGGUUAUACCCAAGGAGUGUCCGUAAAGGUGACCGGUAGCUGCAGAAUCCCCCAGCCCGAGCCAGAGAACAGAAAUAUCCUUUCACGUAUCCUUCAGCCAUGCCUACCUCUCAACACCGCAAUACAAAGGACCUGUCCGCUGGCUGGCACUUCCUGUACAAGUACUACAAAGGGGCGAUAAGGCACGUUCCCAGCCCUUCCUUUGAACACUACAUUAACCUGCCUACCUCUCAACACCCCAAUACAGAGGACCUGUCCGCUGGCUGGCACUUCCUGUACAAGUACUACAAUGGGACGAUAAGGCACGUUUUCAGCCCUUCCUAUCGAACACUACAUUAAACCACGAAGGACCAGAACGAACAAUUACGGCUAGAAACAGGAAGACUUCACUCUUCAGAACAUUGUGUUUUAUCUAGUGAUCUUCAGUUUUUUAGUUUUAUAUGUCAUACUUAUACAUUUUUAAUGUUAUGUCCGAUUAUAGUUAUCAGCUCAGGCUGAUACUAAUGGUUUAGUUCUCUCCGAAGUAAGUAUGUAUUUGCCUGAUUAAAAUUUUUUCAGUUUAGACUGAUAUUGAUUUUAUAGUUCUCUACGAAGGAACUAUUUUUUUGCAGGCCUUGAUUAUAUUUUUCAAUAUUCGGCCUGAUUUUGCUUAUACCGUUCAGGCUGAUAUUGUUGUUAUAGUUCUCUACGCAGGAACUAUGUUUAUGAAGGCCUUGCUUAUUCAUUUUUCAAUAUUUGGCCUGAUUUUGCUUAUACCGUUCAGGCUGAUAUUGUUAUUAUAGUUCUCUACGCAGAACUAUGUUUAUGCAGGCCUUGCUUAUUUAUUUUUCAAUAUUUGGCCUGAUUUUGCUUAUACCGUUCAGGCUGAUAUUGUUAUUAUAGUUCUCUACGCAGAACAAUAUUAUAGUUCUCUACGCAGAACUAUGUUUAUGCCGGCCUUGCUUUUAUAUUUUCCAUUAUUCAGCCUGAUUUUAGUUAUACCGUUCAGGCUGAUAUGGAUGUUAUAGUUCUCUACGCAGAACUAUUUUUAUGCAGGCCUUGCUUAUUAUUAUUUUCCAAUAUUCAGCCUGAGUUUAGUUGGACCAUUCAGGCCGAUAUUGAUAUUUUAGUUCUCUACGCAGAACUAUGUUUAUGCAGGCCUUGCUUAUUAUUAUUUUCCAAUAUUCAGCCUGAUUUUAGUUGGACUGUUCAGGCCGAUAUUGAUAUCUUAGUUCUCUACGAAGGAACUAUGUUUAUGCAGGCUUUGCUUAUUAUAUUUUACAAUAUUCAGCCUGAUUUUAGUUGGACCGUUCAGGCCGAUAUUGAGAUUUUAGUUCUCUACGAAGGAACUAUAUUUAUUCAGGCUGUGCAUAUAUUUUUCUAUAUUCAAACUGAUUUUCAGUAUUCCAUUCAGGCUGAUAUUGAUGUUAUGGUUCUCUACGAAGGAACUAUGUUUUAUGCAACCCUUGCUUAUAUUUUUCAGUAUUCUUCCUGAUUUUAGUUAUUCCGUUCAGGAUGAUAUUGAGGUUAUAGUUCUCUACGAAGGAACUAUGUUUUAUGCAACCUUUGCUUAUAUUUUUCAGUAUUCUUCCUGAUUUUAGUUAUUCCGUUCAGGACGAUAUUGAGGUUAUAGUUCUCUACAAAGGAACUAAAUUUAUGCAUGAUUUUAGUUCUUCAGUUCAGUCCAUGCUUAUAUUUUUCAAUAUUCUGCAGGAUUUAAGUUAUUCAGUCUAGGCUGAUAUUGAUACUAUAGUUGUCUUCGAAGGAGCUAUUUUACCUAAGUUGGGUACCAGAUCAGGUCAUGAAUGUACUUACAUGUUCUGCCGAUUCAGAUAUCUGGACAUGCCAUGCAUAUAUUUAUCUUUUAAUUUCUGCCCAGUCAGGCAUCGUUGGGGUUUACACUACCCCUCUAACUAAACUUAUUUCUAUUUCUUAUGACCAAAGUUUUUAACUUAUUUUCCCUGUUUUUCUUAUUGGUAUGUGCCAAUUUUACCGUAUAUGCCAAUCUUAACGGGUAGUUAUUCUAACAGUUCUAGUGUCAACACAUCUUUCCCAUUAUAAACCUGUGUGUUGGCGUAUUAUACGAAUAAAAUUGCCUUCUGCCCGAUAAUCUUCAGCUCCCAAAAGAUGCUUCUGGGUCUAAGAUUUUGAAGCUACUGUUGGGCAUAUUAGUUUUUCAUAUCUCUGAGUUAAAGGGAAUGUCGCCCCACAGGGAUCUGCCACAUCCCUAUGUAAAUAAUCAUGCUCCACUAAGUCACACCAAAUAAGAUCAAUACGUUUCCUAGGUUUUGUCCUCGAAAGCCAUUACAUAUAUAUUUUCCAUCAUAAUCCAUUACCCUUUUUACUUUGCUUACUCAUAAGCGAUAAUCGUUAGCCCAGUUCUUUCACGUUUUAAAUCACGGGCUUGUUACCCGAGCUGUUCCAUAUGGUUAUUCCCACAGAUAUUCCUCUGGAUUAUUGGUAUUUGUUGUAUAUGUCUCUUUAACUGUCUGCCAGUUUACAUCUGCAGCCCAAUUGUUUAUUAAAUUUUGAUUGGUCGCUCUUUUUCAAGUACAUUCCGAAUCUUACUUUUGUCAAGGUUUUUCAUAUUAUGUAUAUAUGUUAACUGACAGUUUAUUGUUCUAAUGGUCUUUUACUCAUUUACUGGUACAUGUACUUCAUGCCAAUGCUGGUUGUCUGUCGGUUCCAAACCACAGCUCCAUAGUUGUACUACACAGUACAUUAUUGCUUUCCCUGUUUAUGUGUUACAAUUAUUAAUUUGCUUUUGUUGUGUUGCUUGACUGUUUAUGUUUAACCAACAGUUUAACCCCGCAGGUAACCUUUUACCUAUUACCAAGGUCUGUUAUCAAGGCAAUGUUUGUCUUUUUUAUCUCAUUGUCUGAUAGUUUAAGAAUGCAGUUCCAUUGUUUUACUAUAUGAUUGCUUACUCCUGUAUGGGUACAUAUUUUUACUUUUGUUGUUCUGCUGUACAAUCUAUGUUUACCUGAUAGGUAAAGGGUGCAGAUUGUAUUUAAAAUUUUACCAAUACCCUUUAUUCAAGCCAAUAUGUGUUAAAUACUUUUCAUAUGUUGUCUGAUGGUUAAGGGCAGCCCCUACAUUGUUUUACACUGGGUUCAUGAUAUCAUACUACUUAACCACUACAUUUUAAUAUUUUGCUUCGUCAGGUUCUUGAACAUUUAAGGUUAAUCUUAUAGUUUAAAGCUGCACAUUCAUUUUCACCUCUUAACAGGUACCUGUACUUAGUCUUAAUUCCAAAAUCUGUUGUAUACAUCUGUUUGGUCAUCUUGUUGGUUUAAGGCCGCAGCUCCAUUGUAUAACAUAUUAUUGUUUACUUUCUUAUCGAUACAGGUAAUUUUUCACCUAUAACAAAGGCCUGUAAUUAGGGCCAUAUCUGUUGUAUAUAUCUCCUAUGCAUGAUGGUUUAGGGCCACAGAUCCAUUGUUUUCCUAUAUUAUUGCCUACUUUUUACCGUUACAUCUUUUUUAUAUUUAUUUUCGUUGCUUUGCUUUACAAUUUAUGUUAACCUGACAGUUUAAGGCUGCAGGUAAUUUUUCAUUUAUUAAUAAGGCUGCUGUUUAAGGCAAGUAUCUGUUGCUUAUAUCUCCUAUGUUGUCUGGCGGUUUAGUGCUCGGAUCGGGGAUUAUACUAUAUUAUUGAUUGCCUACUCUUUUACCGGUACGUUGUCUUAUUUUAUGGUGUGUUGCUUUGCCGUACAAUUUAUGUUUACCUGACAGUUUUAGGCUGCAAGCAAACGUUUCACCUUUUAACAAGGCUGUUUAUUAAAGCCAUUAUUUGUUGGAUAUAUCCCCUAUGUUGUAUGACAGUUUAAGGCCGCAGAUACAUGUUUUUGUUUUUUCUUCAUGAUUGCUUACUCCUUUAAGUGGGCAUCUUCUUACUUUACUUUUGUUGUUUUGCUGUAAAAGUUACGUUUCCCUGACAGUUAAAGGCUGCAGGUAGUCUUUCACCAGUUUUACUAGCGCUUUUACUGUAUACAAAUAUUGGUUGUUUUAUGUCUGACUGGUUAAGGUCGCAGCUCCAAUUAUUUACAUAUAGGUCUAAGUCAAUUUUGUUGACAAUAAGGUUAAGCAGUUCUUAUUAACACUGCUUUUUUCUGGCAGUGUUUUUCUUAUGGAGCAUACACAUAUAAUUAAGUUAUGCUUAUUCUAGUGAUCGUUGAACACCAAUCCUAUUGUUUUCAAUUAAUUUACUUCACUAGGUUUUAUAAUUUGUAAUUAAUUAGCAGAUGGAUGAUUUAAGCCUAGCUUAUAAUGCUUAUUUGUCCUUAAUUUUCACAUAUCUGACCUUAAUCGUAAGGCUACGUUUAUAUUCAUUCAGGGGCAACUACCCCCUUUUCGAAUUGCGGUCCUCUCCCGUACUUCAUGGGCGGCGGGGUUCCCGUUCCGGUCCCCUUUGUGGCGUGUUUUUACCACCCAUUAUGCCUUUCUGGAAAGAAUCUGUUCUAUUUUUAUCUUUUUUAUGGCAUUUUAUAAUAAAUGCCCGUUUUCAAUCAACAA